UACGGCAUUCGUGGACCACCGAGGACCUCCGUGGCGCUAACGGCAGAUGACCAACUUUUGCAAUGGUUCGCUAACCAGAGGACCAUUUACGGAAAAAUCACCGCACUUGGGACCAGAUCAGGGUCAGCUGGAAACAGACAGACAGAGAGGAAUAGGUGGAUAGAGGAGAGGUGGCGUUUCCUAUCAGGGCAUAUUGUGCGUGCAGUGACCAGGACUAGCGCACCCAAGG
Molecule: long non-coding RNA, 229 nt
Organism: Amblyraja radiata (thorny skate)
Lineage: Eukaryota; Metazoa; Chordata; Chondrichthyes; Rajiformes; Rajidae
Exons: 2
Source: RefSeq, a predicted model, not a curated record